AUACGGAGGGAGCUAGCGUUGUUCGGAAUUACUGGGCGUAAAGCGUACGUAGGCGGAUUGACAAGUUGGGGGUGAAAUCCCAGGGCUUAACCCUGGAACUGCCCUCAAAACUAUCGAUCUAGAGACCGGGAGAGGUAAGCGGAAUUCCUAGUGUAGAGGUGAAAUUCGUAGAUAUUAGGAAGAACACCAGUGGCGAAGGCGGCUUACUGGACCGGUACUGACGCUAAGGUACGAAAGCGUGGGGAGCAAACAGGAUUAGAAACCCCGGUAGUCC
RNAcentral lists this ribosomal RNA (274 nucleotides) under uncultured bacterium. RNAcentral describes it as "partial 16S ribosomal RNA". It matches the Rfam family "Bacterial small subunit ribosomal RNA", at positions 523 to 796 of the family's 1533-position model. The record is from RNAcentral.